RNAcentral lists this ribosomal RNA (497 nucleotides) under uncultured bacterium. RNAcentral's name for it is "partial 16S ribosomal RNA". It matches the Rfam family "Bacterial small subunit ribosomal RNA", at positions 28 to 507 of the family's 1533-position model. The record is from RNAcentral.
GAUGAACGCUGGCGGCGUGCCUAAUACAUGCAAGUCGAGCGAACAGACGAGGAGCUUGCUCCUCUGACGUUAGCGGCGGACGGGUGAGUAACACGUGGCUAACCUACCUAUAAGACUGGGAUAACUUCGGGAAACCGGAGCUAAUACCGGAUAAUCUAUUGAAACGCAUGGUUCAAUAGUGAAAGACGGUUUUGCUGUCACUUAUAGAUGGAUCCGCGCCGCAUUAGCUAGUUGGUAAGGUAACGGCUUACCAAGGCAACGAUGCGUAGCCGACCUGAGAGGUGGAGCGGCCACACUGGAACUGAGACACGGUCCAGACUCCUACGGGAGGCAGCAGUAGGGAAUCUUCCGCAAUGGGCGAAAGCCUGACGGAGCAACGCCGCGUGAGUGAUGAAGGGCUUCGGAUCGUAAAACUCUGUUAUUAGGGAAGAACAAAUGUGGAAGUAACUAUGCACGUCUUGACGGUACCUAAUCAGAAAGCCACGGCUAACUACGUG